This 993-nucleotide long non-coding RNA is filed under the name Sus scrofa (pig). RNAcentral describes it as "lncRNA (ENSSSCG00065002942.1)". Lineage: Eukaryota; Metazoa; Chordata; Mammalia; Artiodactyla; Suidae. The record is from RNAcentral.
AUGAAAACACUGAGGCUCAGAGAGGUGAAGUCAUUUGCCCAAGAGCAGACCAUCAGGAAAAUGGCAGAGGCAGGAUUUGAACUCAGGCCUCAUCUACUUCCACAAGUGAGAAGACCAGCGCAGCAGGGAUUUUUGUCCAGGGAAGGCUCCUCAGGAAGGAGGAAGGGAUCAGAAGCGGGAUCAGGUGCCAGGCUCACCCUCCCACCUGAAAAGCGUCCCCUAAUGGGGGCCGCCAUGUUGAUGCUCUGGGACCCGCCUCCUCCACCACAGCUGAUUGGGGGAGAACCAGGUCACCUGACUCAAGCUAAGCCAAUCAGAUUCCUAACCCCCCCCCCCCCACAAAGAAGCCACUCUUGCAUCUUUGACAUGGAAGGUAGCCGGGCUGGGAUUAAGGCGCUCGUUUCUCAACAGUGUGACCUCAGGCAACUUGGACCUCUCUGUGGUUUGGUUUCCUUCUCUGGAAGUCGGAAGGAUGAAAGCAGCGCCUUCCUCCAUGGCCUCUGCGGGAUUAUGCGAAAUCCUGGUGGCGACGCUUUUUGCCCAAGAGCUGACACGCAGAAAAUGGCUGGGCAAACAGCAGCCGGCUUUGCUGGUGGUACGGACGGAGCGAUGGGACUUGUGGCCGUGCAGGGGCCACCUCCUGCCUUCUAUGUCCUGGAUCCUUCCCCAGAGGAUGCUGAGGGGUUGGUCUUGAGUGGUUUUGCCUUCCAGCAGACUCAGGAGCCCAGCCGUCAGUGGGCAUGGGAGAGAAGAGUCGGGGGUAAGCCUCUGAGAGGACAGAGCGGCCAAUCCAGUGGUGUAAUCAGGCCAAGUUACGAAGUGAGACCCCCCCCCCCCCGGCCUGGACACACCAGAGUGGGGGUGGCGUCUCCCAAGGUAUUUCAUUUUAAAAAUACACUUAUGUGGACGUUCCCACUGUGGUGCAGCAGGACUGGUGGUGUCCCCGCAGAGCCAAGAUGCAGGUUCGAUCCCCGGCCUGGCACAGUGGGGUAA